Molecule: long non-coding RNA, 507 nt
Organism: Astatotilapia calliptera (eastern happy)
Lineage: Eukaryota; Metazoa; Chordata; Actinopteri; Cichliformes; Cichlidae
Source: Ensembl
AGUCAGAGACACAUUGGGCCAGCCUGAGGAAGGCGAAACUACGCCGAAACGUCGCGAAGGCCCAAUGAAGUGCACUAAACCCUAGAAAUGGGUAAUUUUUUGAACCAGGGCAGGGACACCACUACCCAGCCCCAUCGAUGGCCCGUGCACUUCAGGCUACCAGCUUGCUGGUGGCCUGUUCCUUACUCAACACCUAACCAGCCAGUGCCUCGUGGGGUUGGGGGUGCCCCUGCCCACUAACAAAUCCUAACCCUAACCAGGGGGGUCCCUAAGAAAGACAAGAAAGUCAGAAAGGAGAAAGAAAAGCAAAGAAACAGAAAAAGUUAAGGAAACCAAGAGAGGCAGAAAUAGAGAAAGCAGAAAAACACAAAUAGAAAACCUAAAAGAAGGAGGAGUCAAGUGACAGUAUAAAAGCCAAGAGAGGCAGAACAGAGAACAAGCAGUCAGAGACACAUUGGGCCAGCCUGAGGAAGGCGAAACUACGCCGAAACGUCGCGAAGGCCCAAU